Molecule: ribosomal RNA, 500 nt
Filed under: uncultured eukaryote
Lineage: Eukaryota
Description: SSU rRNA
Rfam family: Eukaryotic small subunit ribosomal RNA
Source: RNAcentral
UAUGUCUAGACUAGCCAUGCAUGUCUAGUAUAAAUGAUAUACAGUGAAACUGCGAAUGGCUCAUUAAAACAGUUAUAGUUUAUUUGGUAAUCGAAUUUACAUGGAUAACCGUGGUAAUUCUAGAGCUAAUACAUGCUGUAAAGCCCGACUCAACGGAAGGGCCGUAUUUAUUAGAUAACAGACCAAUAUUCCUCGUGUCUAUUGUGGUGAAUCAUAGUAACUAAUCGGAUCGCAUGGGCUAGUCCCGCGACAAACCAUUCAAGUUUCUGCCCCAUCAGCUUUCGAUGGUAGUGUAUUGGACUACCAUGGCUUUUACGGGUAACGGAGGAUUAGGGUUCGAUUCCGGAGAGGGAGCCUGAGAAACGGCUACCACAUCUAAGGAAGGCAGCAGGCGCGUAAAUUACCCAAUCCUAAUUCAGGGAGGUAGUGACAAGAAAUAACGGGUCGGGGCUAUGCCCCGGGACUGCAAUGAGAUGAAUUUACACCCCUUUUCGAGUAAC